AACGCACAUUGCGCCCGCCAGUAUUCUGGCGGGCAUGCCUGUCCGAGCGUCAUUUCAACCCUCGAACCCCUCCGGGGGGUCGGCGUUGGGGAUCGGGAACCCCUAAGACGGGAUCCCGGCCCCGAAAUACAGUGGCGGUCUCGCCGCAGCCUCUCAUGCGCAGUAGUUUGCACAACUCGCACCGGGAGCGCGGCGCGUCCACGUCCGUAAAACACCCAACUUCUGAAAUGUUGACCUCGGAUCAGGUAGGAAUACCCGCUGAACUUAA
This 268-nucleotide unclassified non-coding RNA is filed under the name uncultured Trichoderma. RNAcentral's name for it is "sequence contains ITS2". The stretch from base 1 to 52 matches the Rfam family "5.8S ribosomal RNA", at positions 103 to 154 of the family's 154-position model. The record is from RNAcentral. Lineage: Eukaryota; Fungi; Ascomycota; Sordariomycetes; Hypocreales; Hypocreaceae.